UCCCAGUUUAGGUGGAUAGGACCCUUCGA
This 29-nucleotide non-coding RNA is filed under the name Mus musculus (house mouse). Lineage: Eukaryota; Metazoa; Chordata; Mammalia; Rodentia; Muridae. The record is from RNAcentral.